AGCAGUCGCCGCGGUAAUACGUAGGUGGCAAGCGUUGUCCGGAAUUAUUGGGCGUAAGGGGCUCGCAGGCGGUUUCUUAAGUCUGAUGUGAAAGCCCCCGGCUCAACCGGGGAGGGUCAUUGGAAACUGGGAAACUUGAGUGCAGAAGAGGAGAGUGGAAUUCCACGUGUAGCUGUGAAAUGCGUAGAGAUGUGGAGGAACACCAGUGGCGAAGGCGACUCUCUGGUCUGUAACUGACGCUGAGGAGCGAAAGCGUGGGGAGCGAACAGGAUUAGAUACCCCUGUAGUCCCUGUCUCUUAUAC
RNAcentral lists this ribosomal RNA (303 nucleotides) under uncultured bacterium. RNAcentral describes it as "partial 16S ribosomal RNA". It matches the Rfam family "Bacterial small subunit ribosomal RNA", at positions 507 to 807 of the family's 1533-position model. The record is from RNAcentral.